This 253-nucleotide ribosomal RNA is filed under the name uncultured bacterium. Its description in RNAcentral is "partial 16S ribosomal RNA". It matches the Rfam family "Bacterial small subunit ribosomal RNA", at positions 524 to 776 of the family's 1533-position model. The record is from RNAcentral.
UACGGAGGGAGCUAGCGUUGUUCGGAAUUACUGGGCGUAAAGCGCACGUAGGCGGCUUUGUAAGUUAGAGGUGAAAGCCCGGGGCUCAACCCCGGAAUUGCCUUUAAGACUGCAUCGCUAGAAUUGUGGAGAGGUAAGUGGAAUUCCGAGUGUAGAGGUGAAAUUCGUAGAUAUUCGGAAGAACACCAGUGGCGAAGGCGACUUACUGGACACAUAUUGACGCUGAGGUGCGAAAGCGUGGGGAGCAAGCAGG